Non-coding RNA from Epinephelus lanceolatus (giant grouper), 727 nucleotides. The record is from RefSeq and is a predicted model, not a curated record. NCBI's taxonomy places the organism in Eukaryota, Metazoa, Chordata, Actinopteri, Perciformes, Serranidae.
CACAGCUGCAGAUCUUUUGUUUCUCUGCCAGUUCAUCAAAGUCUCUCAGUCAUUUGUAUCCAUGAACUGUUCUGGAUUUACACGGAUUUUGACCUGCUGCCUGUUUAUCACCUACUUACCCUGUGAUACUGUGAAUUUAAGCGUUACGGCAGUUUGUGCAACAUAGAACUACAACAAACGAUGUGUCUGGUCCCCCUCUGCUCUGCUCUCAUCUCCAGAAGCCCUAGACGUGCCGGACCAAACAUAACUGUUUAUCUCAGGCUGCAUCCACACCGAUUUGUCCGCAGAUUGAGGAAUGUUGCAUCUCCGCUUUGACGUCUGAAAACCUCCUGUUUACCGCUCCGACACAAGAGCUUUGCAUCAGACUGUUUGAUGUCGGCGGCAUCAGAGAUCAUCACUGAUCAGCAGGAGUCAGCAGCACUGGAGGAAGGUUUCAGAUUAAUUACUUCAGUAAAGGUACUAAUACCACACUGAGGAAAUACUCCAUUACAAUUAAACGUCCUGCAUUGAAAAAGUUCCCUCAGUAAAAGUGUGUCCGUUUAAUCAGGAGAGUGUAAAGUGAAUUUUCUGUCAGUCUGUAAAUAUUGGGCUAAUGUUUAAGAAACUGUUGGAAUGUGAUAUAUAACAAAACUCUUCAUAUGUUUUGUGUGCAAAAUAUUUAAUUUAUAAAGUCAGAUACAUGUAGUGAAGCAGAAAGUGUCACAAACAGAGACUCGAUUAAAGUACA